This 1211-nucleotide ribosomal RNA is filed under the name Talaromyces sp. AC-2015. RNAcentral's name for it is "eukaryotic LSU rRNA". The stretch from base 823 to 976 matches the Rfam family "5.8S ribosomal RNA". The record is from RNAcentral. Lineage: Eukaryota; Fungi; Ascomycota; Eurotiomycetes; Eurotiales; Trichocomaceae.
UCUUGGUCAUUUAGAGGAAGUAAAAGUCGUAACAAGGUUUCCGUAUUAAGUCUUUGCAGGCUGGAACAUGAUUCCUUCCGCAGUGUACACUUAUCGAAGCCUAUGCAGCCACGCAAGUGGUAGGUCCAGACGACUCUAAACAAGUUGGUGCCGCGAUGCAAGUCCACCGGGGUGGGCGACACUUUUGAAUUGACGGGGACACCCUAAAGCCGAUCGCACCAACCUGUGUCGGGAAACCGCACGGGGGCCCAUGGGAAAUACAUGGGGAAAGGUAACAGACGAUCCGGAUAGUUCUGCUUCAGGCAGAGAUCAUGGGCAAUCCGCAGCUAAGCUCCUACGGCCUCCGCGGCUACGGAGAAAGUCCACAGACUAAGUGGAAGUGGGUAGGAUGACUAAUCCUGCUUAAGAUAUAGUCGGGCCGCCCGGGAAAUCGGGUGGGCAAGUACACUGUAUGGGUUUCUACUGAGAGGUGCGACUUCCCAUCUUGACAGUCGAAUUGGCAGGUACCUGUCCGAGUACCGUCCCGCCCCUGGCUCCCACCGGGUUAGGGCUACUCGGACACGUGACUUCUUCUCUCAGAGAUACUCAGUGAACCUCAAAAAACCGUUCCGUAGGUGAACCUGCGGAAGGAUCAUUACCGAGUGCGGACCCCUCGCGGUCCAACCUCCCACCCGUGUCUACUUGAAUACCCUGUUGCUUUGGCGGGCCCACCGGGCCACCGGUCGCCGGGGGACGUCCCUGUCCCCGGGCCCGUGCCCGCCGGAGCGCCCACAGAACCCUUUGUGAAGAUGGACUGUCUGAGCAUGAUUGAUAAUGAAUCAAAACUUUCAACAAUGGAUCUCUUGGUUCCGGCAUCGAUGAAGAACGCAGCGAAAUGCGAUAAGUAAUGUGAAUUGCAGAAUUCCGUGAAUCAUCGAAUCUUUGAACGCACAUUGCGCUCCCUGGCAUUCCGGGGAGCAUGCCUGUCCGAGCGUCAUUUCUGCCCUCAAGCGCGGCUUGUGUGUUGGGCGCUGGUCCCCCCUUCUCCCGGGGGGACCUGCCCGAAAGGCAGCGGCGACGUUCCCGCCCAGGUCCUCGAGCGUAUGGGGCUUUGUCACCCGCUCGGGACGGACCCGCGGGGCGUUGGUCAUCCAACCCCAUCUCUUUUUACGGUUGACCUCGGAUCAGGUAGGAGUUACCCGCUGAACUUAAGCAUAUCAAUAAGCGGAGGA